RNAcentral lists this transfer RNA (73 nucleotides) under Haliotis rufescens (red abalone). RNAcentral describes it as "tRNA-Tyr". It matches the Rfam family "tRNA". Rfam says of the family: Transfer RNA (tRNA) molecules are approximately 80 nucleotides in length. Their secondary structure includes four short double-helical elements and three loops (D, anti-codon, and T loops). Further hydrogen bonds mediate the characteristic L-shaped molecular structure. tRNAs have two regions of fundamental functional importance: the anti-codon, which is responsible for specific mRNA codon recognition, and the 3' end, to which the tRNAs corresponding amino acid is attached (by aminoacyl-tRNA synthetases). tRNAs cope with the degeneracy of the genetic code in two manners: having more than one tRNA (with a specific anti-codon) for a particular amino acid; and 'wobble' base-pairing, i.e. permitting non-standard base-pairing at the 3rd anti-codon position. RNAcentral also lists the same sequence under 3 other names. Lineage: Eukaryota; Metazoa; Mollusca; Gastropoda; Lepetellida; Haliotidae. The record is from RNAcentral.
CCCGUGAUAGCUCAGUUGGUAGAGCGGAGGACUGUAGAUCCUUAGGUCGCUGGUUCGAAUCCGGCUCGCGGGA